This 484-nucleotide ribosomal RNA is filed under the name uncultured bacterium. RNAcentral's name for it is "partial 16S ribosomal RNA". It matches the Rfam family "Bacterial small subunit ribosomal RNA", at positions 28 to 507 of the family's 1533-position model. The record is from RNAcentral.
AUUGAACGCUGGCGGCAUGCUUUACACAUGCAAGUCGAACGGCAGCGCGGGCUUCGGCCUGGCGGCGAGUGGCGAACGGGUGAGUAAUGCAUCGGAACGUGCCCAGUAGUGGGGGAUAGCCCGGCGAAAGCCGGAUUAAUACCGCAUACGACCUGAGGGUGAAAGCGGGGGACCGAAAGGCCUCGCGCUAUUGGAGCGGCCGAUGUCGGUUUAGCUAGUUGGUGGGGUAAAGGCUUACCAAGGCGACGAUCCGUAGCUGGUCUGAGAGGACGACCAGCCACACUGGGACUGAGACACGGCCCAGACUCCUACGGGAGGCAGCAGUGGGGAAUUUUGGACAAAGGGGGCAACCCUGAUCCAGCCAUGCCGCGUGCGGGAAGAAGGCCUUCGGGUUGUAAACCGCUUUUGUUCGGGAAGAAAUCCUCUGGGCUAAUACCCCGGGGGGAUGACGGUACCGGAAGAAUAAGCACCGGCUAACUACGUG